RNAcentral lists this long non-coding RNA (414 nucleotides) under Rattus norvegicus (Norway rat). RNAcentral describes it as "long non-coding RNA NONRATT033649". The record is from RNAcentral. Lineage: Eukaryota; Metazoa; Chordata; Mammalia; Rodentia; Muridae.
GUGACUUUGGCCUUGGGUAGAAAGUAUGUGCUUCAGGCAGGCAGCUUCUUGACAUCACAUUUAGCAUGAAGCCAGGAAUGCUGGCACGUCUGGGAUAGGACCAGAAUGCACUUGAGACAUUUUAAAAGUCAUCUACUCAUUGUUUAAAAUGACAAAAACUUGCUGCUCAUAAAAUGCUCUAAGGAAUGCCUAAGGUUGGAGAAGAAUCCACAAGAUUUAGAGAGAGCAGAGAAGGCACUUAAGAUAGAUUUGGAAAUUGGGACCUGAAGACAGCAAAGGUUCUCUGCCGCCAUGUGGAAAGGAAGAAAGUUAUCUUUGCCCAGUUCAAGGAAAAAAAUGUGUGAAAGCAACAGCGGAGUGUGUCAGACUGCCUACAAAUAUCAGCCAUAUUCAAGCUUUUUUCUAUAUAUAUAG